AGAUUGAACGCUGGCGGCAUGCUUUACACAUGCAAGUCGAACGGCAGCGCGGGGCAACCUGGCGGCGAGUGGCGAACGGGUGAGUAAUAUAUCGGAACGUACCCAAGAGUGGGGGAUAACGUAGCGAAAGUUACGCUAAUACCGCAUACGAUCUAAGGAUGAAAGCAGGGGACCGCAAGGCCUUGUGCUCCUGGAGCGGCCGAUAUCUGAUUACGCUAGUUGGUAAGGGUAAAGCCUACCAAGGCUACGGAUCAGUAGCUGGUCUGAGAGGACGACCAGCCACACUGGAACUGAGACACGUCCAGACUCCUACGGGAGGCAGCAGGUGGGAAUUUUGGACAAGUGGGCGACAAGCCUAGAUCCGAGCAAUGCCGCGGUGAGGUA
RNAcentral lists this ribosomal RNA (384 nucleotides) under uncultured soil bacterium. RNAcentral's name for it is "bacterial SSU rRNA". It matches the Rfam family "Bacterial small subunit ribosomal RNA", at positions 26 to 409 of the family's 1533-position model. The record is from RNAcentral.